GCCAAUAGGAGCUCGGCGGCGUCGGGGUCAAAGGACAGGCGAAGUACAAAGAUGGCAGCGCAAGCGGUGGCGGCUGAGCAGAUGAAGCGGUGUCAGUGAGGAGCAGGACAGUGGCCGGGCUAGGCAAGGCGUGGGUGGGGAUGAUGGUGCGUGGCGCGCGCUGUGGCUGAGGAUCCCUCGCGCCCUCUAGCCGUCCCGCGCACCCGCCCCUCUCAGCUGGUGCCCCGGCCUCGCGCUCCCUCCUCUCCAUGAGCGGCGCGUGCGAGCUGGUGUGGCGCCUGCUGCACGCCCUGCUCUGCCUGCUGCGCGCGCUGCUCUCGUGGCUCCGCGGGCGGCUGCGGGGAGGCCCCCGCUCGUGGCUCUGGCGCUGGUGGCGCCGCGCGGCCUCUGCCGCCGCCUCCUGCGCGCUCCUGGCGCCCGCCGCCGGGGCCUUCGCCUUCCACAAGCCCGGCGCGGCGCGGCGAGUGCCUGGCGGGCGCGGGCGGGGGCGCUGGGACGGGCGGUCCCUGGAGAAGCUGCCGGUGCACAUGGGGCUGGUGGUGACCGAGGAGGAGCCGAGCUACGCGGACAUGGCCAGCCUGGUGGUGUGGUGCAUGGCGGUGGGCAUCUCCUACGUCAGUGUCUACGACCACCACGGAAUCUUCAAGAGGAAUAACGCAAGGCUGAUGGAUGAAAUUUUAAAACAGCAGCAGGAACUCCUGGGUCUAGAUUGCUCCAAAUAUACAGUGGAAUUUGCAAAUCAAGACAAAACAGACCAAGUUUUAAAUUGCCAAUCUACAUUGAAGGUGCUGUCCCCAGAAGAUGGAAAGGCAGACAUAGUGAGAGCAGCUCAGAACUUUUGCCAGUUGGUAGCACAACAGCAAAGAAAAUAUACAGACCUGGAUGUGAAUGUUUUAAACAACUUACUAAAUAGUAAUAAAGGUUUCCCUGACCCUGAUUUAAUUUUGAAAUUUGGUCCUGUGGACAGCACAUUAGGAUUCCUUCCCUGGCACAUCAGACUGACAGAAAUCAUUUCUUUGCCUUCACACCUGAAUAUCAGCUAUGAAGAUUUUUUUUCUGCCCUCCAUCACUAUGCAGCCUGUGAGCAGCGUUGGGGAAAAUGACUUCUUGCUGAGCACUCUGUCAGGCUUUCCAUGGAAAGGAUCCAGUAUCUCUGUUUACAAGCACCCUGUGAUCUGUACAAGUCUGGUUCAUAGUCCCCAAAAAACCUAUAAUAAUGUGAACUGCCUCAUUUCAAGUUUUGUGUGAGACAAAGGGACCUUGAUCAAGUUGCUCACUGCUUUGAGCUGAUUCUUUCAAGGACGUCAAGAUGAUAUUCCCUAUGGGUUGUAAUGCCAGUACAGUGUAUUUAAUCUCAUUCGUGGGGUUGGCUUUUGAUGUUCACCCUGUUUCUACUAUGAUAAAACAAGAUAGACAAUUUAACAUGCAAUGGCUUCUUGGGGUCCCUGUAAUUCCCCACUAAACAUACAUUUAGCUUUUGGGGAUGGGAUGAAUGACUUGCUCUUGAAGAGAGAGCUUGGGUAUUGUGAAUUUUUUUUCUCAAGGCAAAGACCACCUUCAUGUAAACAUAAAGGUUGUCAAGCAGUUCUGGUAUUGGCAGUAAACAGAAAUAAAACAGGAAAAUGAGACUUAAUUCUGUGUUUCUUUUGAUCUUUUCACCAAUCUGCAGACUGCCAAAAAAGUCUUGCAUUACCUGAACUGGUUUUUUGGCCCUUAGCAAAUUCCUGAAUAUCUUUACUAAAGCAAGUAUUUCCUGUUUCAGAGCCAGACCUUAAGAUUUAGUGAGUUGUGCCAAAUACACUCUGUAUAUCCACAACUUGAUCUUCGAAUGUGUCAUUGCAGUUAGCUCCCCCACCCCAGCUUGUCCUGUGUGAAGGUACAUUAUAUAGCUGUGACAUUGUGUGGCUGUAGUCUCUGGCUACAUGUAAAUAAUGUGUAAAGCAAGUUUUUUAUGAUUAAGGAAUCAAUUUAUUUAACUUUAUUAUUGAAAGUUAAAACCUGAAUCUGUAAAACAAGAAACCAAUAAAAGAAUAUAAUCUUUCUA
This is an RNA transcript of Chrysemys picta bellii (western painted turtle), 2044 nucleotides long. It is a transcript of the gene named NUS1 dehydrodolichyl diphosphate synthase subunit, with no coding region annotated. The record is from RefSeq and is a predicted model, not a curated record. Lineage: Eukaryota; Metazoa; Chordata; Testudines; Emydidae.